This 1692-nucleotide long non-coding RNA is filed under the name Taeniopygia guttata (zebra finch). Its description in RNAcentral is "lncRNA (ENSTGUG00000022469.1)". Lineage: Eukaryota; Metazoa; Chordata; Aves; Passeriformes; Estrildidae. The record is from RNAcentral.
UUUUUUUUUUUUUUUUUUUUUUUUAAGCUUUAUGUCUGGCUGAUAUCCAUGAUAGUCCAUCAUCUUAGGAUCUGACACUUGGCAGUCGAGCUCCCCAGCACUGCUCGGGGUGCAGGUAGGAAUCAGCCUGCUCUCCCAGCAGCUGCCUCUCAUCCAGGGAUCUUGCUGGAUGCUUAGUGCCUCCUGCCUGGAUUCUCCUCCUGCUCACCCUGAGACAAGCCCACAAUGCGGCCUUACAAACAGCAGCAGCCAGAGGAAAGAGAUUGAUCCCAUGGAGAAGCCAUUUGGGCUGGAAGCACCCACCAGUGGGCUCAGGGAGGCAGCCAAGUCUGGAGGAACAGUCCCACUGACAAUAGCACCAACCUUGUCCCCUCAUCCUGUCUCCCAGGCUGGUGCAGCCAAUCUCCUGAGCCAGGCAGACCACAAACAUCCCUGGGGGUCACAGGUAGCCCUGCCUGCAGCUUUUCUCUGACACCAGGUGGUUUCCCAGCCGUGGGAGGUAAGCUACAGUCAGGUAAGGACUUCAGCCCUCCCCCCAGAGCCCGAAGAUUACCCCUUGGCAACAGGGUUUUGCUACUCUUCCAGCAAAGGCAAAGCCUCUGGUAGUAGGGCAAGGGAGGACAGAUGGCUCAGGUGCCACCCAGACCUGCUGCUGGAGGGGAUGAGAUCCAAGUGACAACAGGCUGUGUCCUCUGAGGGAACACAUGGUGGCAGCCUCCUGUCCACCCCUUGUUACCAGUGAGUAACAGGCACUGUGGGAGCUCUGAUGGCAGUGCCAGAAAAACCUGAGAGCCUACACAGAGGGACAGUCCUGCUGUGAGCCAACCCUUUAACAUACAGCACCCUGCUCCGGCCCCAGGAGAUCUUCUGCUGCAUUUAGGCUGUGGGAGAGACUCCAGACCCUCAGCACAACUCAGGAUUUGCAGUUCAGGGCUGACCCUGUGUACUAAAAAGCAUUUAUCCUGUGGGAGCCAGGAGCCCACGUUCUUGGGGAGUGCUACCACCGAGCUUUGGGUGAGUGAAGGGGAUGCUCAAGUCAAACAACAACUCCUCCUCACCAUUUUAGAGCCCAUUGCCAACACAAACUGCACAGCACAGGACCCCUGCCUCCACUAGAGCUGCUCAGGGGCAGCCACAGCCCCACCCCAACACCCUCUUAAGAUGCUUCACCUGUCUCUGAGGCUGAGGACAAGACAGAGAGAGGAGGAAGCAAACAGUGCCAUAGGCAGGGCUUGGAAGUCCUGAAUCCAGUCCCCUCAUCCCCUGCACACAAACCACCUCAGUUCCCUUGCACCUCCCGAGGGUCAGGCUGGACAGCAGCACCCUGGCCUCCCCCAGCACCCAUCUCCUCAUCCAUUUCACCCCCCAUGGCCAUCCCAUUCUCAAACAGCAACACCAAAGGUGCAGAUCUGAGGGCUGGAGGCACCGGAGACCAAGGGACCUGCACACAUGAGAUGAUCCCUCAUUUGCUUAAUUGUUUUAAAGCCAAACAAAAAUUAAAGCAUUAAACUUUUAAGGUGAUAAGACUGAGUCACUUACCAGUCUGAGGAAGAGGGAGCAGCCAGACCGGGGGGCUUGGGGCACUAAAGCCACGCCAGGCUGUGGUGAUGAUGGUAGUGAGAAGGAGCAGCAGCAGCAGCAUCCACUCUGAAUUUAGACAACCCUCUAUGCCCUGCACCAUGCUGUAUGUCA